GGCACGAAAUAAAAGAGGUUGCUAAUUUCCUGAAGCUUCUGUUCUCCUCCAUCUUCUUAUUCUUCUUCUUUUCCCCACCCCUAAGAAGUACGUUCUCCUUUGUUUUAUAUCUAGUUCUUCUUCAACAGGGAAAUACAUCUAAUGCCAUUUUGUUUUGUGCACAAUGUUGUUUUUUCAUCAUUGUCUAGAGAACUUAAUGUAUGUAAUUGUAUUUUAAUAGCAUGGAUCCUUUGACAACCUUAAGUCAGCUGGAACAUCAGUGCCGUCAGAACCAGGAUCAUCUAUUGGAGCAGCCAUUGCAGCCUCUGUGGCAAUUCCACCAGAUGCAGUACGUA
RNAcentral lists this unclassified non-coding RNA (335 nucleotides) under Hevea brasiliensis (rubber tree). Lineage: Eukaryota; Viridiplantae; Streptophyta; Magnoliopsida; Malpighiales; Euphorbiaceae. The record is from RNAcentral.